RNAcentral lists this ribosomal RNA (370 nucleotides) under uncultured eukaryote. RNAcentral's name for it is "partial 18S ribosomal RNA". It matches the Rfam family "Eukaryotic small subunit ribosomal RNA", at positions 592 to 976 of the family's 1831-position model. The record is from RNAcentral.
CAAUAGCGUGUAUUAAAGUUGUUGCAGUUAAAAAGCUCGUAGUUGGAUUUCUGGUCGGAAGCUCCUGUCCUCUGAUGAGCGUACAAGUGCGUCCUACCAUCCUUCUGUUAACCUUUAAGGCUUUCGCGGCUUUCUAGGGGCUCAGAUAUUUUACCUUGAGAAAAUUAGAGUGUUUCAGGCAGGCUAGCGCCGGAAUACAUUAGCAUGGAAUAAUGGAAUAGGACUUUUGCCUCUUCUGUUGGUCAUGAGGCUCGAGUAAUGAUUAAUAGGGAUAGUUGGGGGCAUUAGUACUUAACUGUCAGAGGUGAAAUUCUCGGAUUUGUUAAAGACUAACUUAUGCGAAAGCAUUUGCCAAGGAUGUUUUCAUUAA